GGACAAGCAGCUGCAGCUCCUCCCCGACACAACCGCUGCUAGGGUAUGCCUGUGUUCUAAUUAGAGAUUAGAUAUUAUUCUUGCAUGCCUGGUUCAGUCAAGUAAUCCAAAAUUGCUUAUCUUCUUUGAACCAGUUUCAUUGCAAUAUCAAAAGCUUUUUUACAGGUCCUCUUAUAUAAAUAAAUGCCUCUCAUGACAUAUCAUUGGCAAUGUUAAAGAUACGUGUCAGACCCAGCUGAUCGUGACGAACACAAGCUGUAGUUCAGAGAGGAAUUCAAUUGCAUUUCAGGGGCGAAUUGCCGAGGAUUUAUCUUACAACCAGAGGCACCUAAGCCGGCCAGGAACACUGGCGGGGCGAUGGGGAAACCCUACAUAUGAUAGUGCUCUACCGAGCCGGAAUCCAUGGCUUUAUAGCCUUACACAAAAGGGGUAAAAAUUCAGGGAAAAGCGGUAAAAAGAUGAUGAUGCGCUCUCCUGCAGAAGCUCACGGCGUCAGCUGAACACGGAGGUACGUUGGCCGUCGGAUCGGAGAUCAACGCCUCCCGCAACUUCAAUGCUGUAGCGCGCCCUCCACCCUGUNNNNN
This 584-nucleotide long non-coding RNA is filed under the name Hordeum vulgare. RNAcentral's name for it is "long non-coding RNA (HVUL_LNC021333)". The record is from RNAcentral. Lineage: Eukaryota; Viridiplantae; Streptophyta; Magnoliopsida; Poales; Poaceae.